GACAAUAUUCGGCGAACCAAUUUUGUCGACUAGUUGUGGCAGAUCAGAUGUAGUGGACCAGAUUUUGUAGACGAGAUCCCUUUUUUAUUUUGAUUUUGUCUAUCAUUUUUUUGUCUUUUUCUUCGAGGGCAAAAUCGUCUAUUUUUCUCUCCUUGUGGCACGUUUUGAAAGAAGCUUUCAUUAAUGGCAGUUUGACAAAAUCGAGUUACCAAAAUGGCAUACUCAAUAAAAUUCCCUUUCUAAAAGCCCUUAGUUAAGAACCAAUUUUAAUAAUUUUUGGUUAUUAUGGAUUAAUGAUUUUUUUGCACAAAACCCUAAUUUUAACCACUUUUUUUUUUUUUUAACUUUAGAAGCUAAUUUUAACAUUUCCUUUGGAGAUAGACUAAACCAAUUUUUUCAUAUAAUGGUCUUGAUUGGUUACUACUUUUAAUUAUUUUCACAUGCAUAUUUUCGUCCACAACUACAAAUCUAC
RNAcentral lists this long non-coding RNA (472 nucleotides) under Capsella rubella. RNAcentral's name for it is "long non-coding RNA (CRUB_LNC004174)". The record is from RNAcentral. Lineage: Eukaryota; Viridiplantae; Streptophyta; Magnoliopsida; Brassicales; Brassicaceae.